ACAAACUUGCCGCAUACACCGCCGUCUCCUACCUCCUCUCCUACCCAACCAGUAAACUACCAUGAAAGCUCUAGGAGAGGCAAGAGAAGAACCAACACUUCUUUUUGGGUUAUCUGCGUCAUCUCUGCCCCGCUGCUCUCCACGUUGACCUCUGCUCGCAGUUGCAGCUUCGCGCCGCCUCCCUGCCAGCCUUUGCUUGCAGCCUCGCGCGGCAUCCAACGCUCCCCACGCUGGCCUUCGCUUGCGUCGCGUGUACCGUUCCCGGGGAAGCGAUGGCGCAGGCGCCCUGGCCAAUUAGUGCUGAGGCAGCGACACCGGCGAACCUGGCUGGUGGCUCGGAAGCGAGGGCGUGGGCGCCCCUGGCGGCCUGGAGGCGCGACCUGCGCAAUUCUCUCUAUGAUUUUAUCGAUUCGAUUCUUCUCUAUUUUUCUCUUCCAUCGAUUUGUAUACGGAUGUAGAAGGGAUUGAUUUUUGGCGCUUGUUGUGGUGGUCGUCAGACCGGUGUUGAUUUUGUGCUCGACAUCUUAUCUAUAUAUGACUAUUGUCCUUUAUUUGGUAUGAAUUUUCAUCGAUUUGGUAUGCGACUCUGUUUUGGAAUUUGGAUUUGGUUUGGUUCGUUGUUGAGUACUGGCGCUUCUCGGAAACAGGCUGGCAAUAGAUACAGACUGAAAUUUUCAUGGCUGGGACACGGACAUAUACAGAUUGAAAUUUUCAUAGCUGGCGGACAGAUUUUGGGCUUUCACGAUUAUAUAUUAGAGAAGAUAGAUUGUAAGGAGGCGGAGGAUGAGCGGGCAGGCGGAGCGGCUUUUGUUGUUUCCACUCCACACGGAAGUACGGAACCGAGGCGGACUUAUUUAUCUCUCAUCCACAACUUUGAACAACAAAACAAUAAAAUUAAUAAUAUUAAAUAUAUCAUUUCUUUAGUUAAUAAACCAAAAUUGGCAUAUAUAUAUAUAUAUAACUUGAUAUGAAUGUCAUAUGACUCAUUGUAUAUAUUUAUUUUACGAGACAAAGCCUAGGUACUCUAUGAUAUAUAUGUUUGCAAUCAAUAUAUAUAUGCAUUAUAUAUAUAGACACGUCUUUUGUAUAUGCCUGUAAAUUACGAGACAAUCUUUUAAGCCUAGUUACUCUACGAUUGGAUAAUAUUUAUAUAGUUUUUUAUAUAGCUUUUAUAUAUAUAGACAAUGGCCGAUCCGAGGGAUCAACAAAUCGAUGAUGAGGCCAUCAUGAUGAAUCUCAUCGCCGGUGGUGACGAACAAAUCAAGGAUGAUGAUGAUCGGAGUCAGUACUUGCGGGUAGAUUACGAGGAGAUCAUGCAGGGAUCCUCCCUACCGCCUAAUGAGCAACAAAUUGUCGAGCAAGCCAAUACUGGCGAGAUAUAUUAGUUAUACAUGUUUAUUAGUGAUUAGGGUUAGGGUUUAGGGUUUAGACUUUAGGGUAUAUUGCAUCUUGUAUUAAUUUCAUCUUUGUGUAUUUAUAUAUGUAGCCCUCUGGAUCGACAUCUACAACUGGGAAGAGCAGACCGGUUCGAGGGCCAUGGAGGCCGUUGGAGGGCCGUCUCGUAUUCUCCGAAUUCCACGAGGCUACAGGCCAACCACUAGGACCGCAUGCAAAGACAUAUGUCGGUUAUUGUGGUUACCUGGUGAGGGAUAGGAUACCGAUCAGUGCUCGAGAAUGGAAGAAGCCAAGUGCUCCUCAUAUCAGUUUUGUCUUCGAUCGUGAUAAAGCCGACAUGUGGACUAACAUCAGACACCAUUUCACGUUCGACACGAACGAUGACGAGCUGAAGGAGAGAAUCUGAGAGUGGACAAUGAAGAAGAUGGCAACACUUUUUUAGGCUUGGAAGAAGAACUUGUACACCAAGUUUGUGAAGAAAAAUGAGACGCCAAAUUUCAGCACCAAGGCGUAUGUCAAGCUAAGGCCCUUUUGGGAUGAAUUCGUGCAGUACAAAACGUCAGAAGAGAGCGAAGCUAUUAUCAGAACGAACAAAGAGAAUGCUGCAAAAAAGAAAUACCACCAUCAUCUGGGAUCAGGUGGCUAUAUGAGUGCCAUUCCAAAGUGGGAGAGAAUGGAACGGGAGAUGAUGGCCAGGGGGGUAGUACCUCAGACAAUACAGAAGAAUUGGGCUGAACGCUGGAAGAAAUGGUUAUACGGUCAUGGGGGAACCGUAGAUCCCAUAACUGGGCUGCUAGAUUGGGGCCUAGAAAUCUCAAGAGCAGCAGAGAGGCUAUUUCAUGCACGAGCAGAGGUUGCAUCUGGUCUACUCAAGCCCAAUAGAGAGAAGGAUGAACUCACGUAUGCCCUUGAACAUCCAGAACACGGCGGGCGUACGAGAGGGUAUAGGGCAGUUUCAUGGUACCAUUCCUUCCCAGCUAAUCGAGGAACUUAUAGAAGCCACCAGAGAAAGAAGGAGGAGGAGGCAGAGCGGAUUCGCAAGUUGGAGGAGUUUGUGCAUAGCUCGCAAGAGCGUGAAAGAAGUCGAGAAGAAUGGAUGUAGGAGGAGAUCAAGAGGCAAGUGCAAGCAGCAAUUAGUUCUAUGACGAGAGGCGGGCUACAUCAUCAUAGCCGGCAGACAUCAACAUUAGCCCCCAGGUCAGUUGAGGAGCAGUCGCCUCCACUGAAGUACCAACCACCCAAGCUGACGCGAAGCUACGGUUCCCCGUGGAUGACCUCACAGAACUUGUUAAUUCAUGUGAGCUGCACAUUCUAGAAGGAAUCGGGACGAAGAAGGUGGCGAUCGGUGUUGUAAAUGCUAUUGACCUGAUGAGAACACCAAGAAUCCAUGGUCAACCGGUACCAGAAGGAUAUGCUCGUGUCUUGUUGCAUAGGGUGGAGAGAGGUUGUGCCAGCGUGCCUCUCGACAUUGAAGGGGGAGAUGGGGAGAAGACUCUAGGUGAGGCAGAGAAGACAUUUGUUGGCAUAAGCGCUUUAUCAUCAUUCCUAGAGUCUCACUGCCGCCACCUCGUCUUACUGAUGAUCAAGAUCCUCAGCGUAGGUGCGUGGAUUCAAAAACAAUAUAUUCGCUAACAUCCUAUAUAUAUGUAUAUAUUGAAUUCUACAACAUAUAGCUUAUAAUUACUCACAACACUCGUGUUUUCUUAGCAGGGACUUCAGUCCAAGUAUUCAUUCCCCAGCGCAUCAUAGUGUUGUGGGCGGCGAAGAUGCUUUGGAGGACGCAACUGCAACCCCAUAUCCUCCACGACGGUCUCCAACACCACCGCAGGCCGCACCGUCCCCACCACCGCCACCGCCUCAAGCUAGUAAGAAGAGGUCCGCCCUAGCACCAAAGGCUUCGGUCCCACAUCCUACAAAGAAGCAAGCUCAGGCUCCCUCUGGUAAAAAAAUGGCCAGUGAAAAGUUGUCUUAUGAGAAGAGUGAUGAGGAGCUAAUUGCAUCAACUGCUUCAGAUGUGAAAGCACACUUUGAAAAAACUAAAAAGGAAAUUGAAGCAAAGCGGAGGAAAGGGUGUUCCAAGGAGAGCUGAGGAAGAGGGUGGAAGAGCACAACCGAAAAAUGCGUGAAGCUCGAAAGCCUCUACCAAAGUCAGACUAUGAACGCCAACUACUAAAAGCUGUAAAAGCUCAACCCGCCAAGAAGAAAGCAGGAAAGGGUGUUCCAUGUUGGGUAUUCUUAACGUCAUUACCAAAAGUAGACUUAGCUUUCUAAUUCUGAUAACGACGCCAAAAAUGUCAAACCUAUCCCUCAUGCCACUUAAGCCAAGUUGUCAUCCCCAGCAUGACAUGAGAGACGCGGUAUUGAAAUAUGCAAUUGCUCUUCUAAAUAAAUAAUAAAUGGGAUCUGCAAGCGCACACGAUGUAACAUUUUAACCGGGAAGUAUUCCAGGUAUCGUUAUUUAUAUUUUUACCACUGGGAAGGGAUUGCUAAACAUCAAUGUUGAUUAUAGAAUGGAAUAUAGAAUUGAGUAUCUAUCAUUGCAUGUAUAAUUGAGAGCAUUUAUCUAUCUCUUUCAUACAGGGAUAAGUGUCACAUAAAAGAUAGAUAAAGUAUGAAUGGUGACAAAGAUAAUUAAUCUGAUCAGCAUAACUUAGCCACAUAUAAAUAUGAUAAGCACCUCAAUAGAUAUUCUAACAAGUCAUUAGCAUGGGAUUAGGAUGAACUACAAGAAUAUUUCCUAAGUUAUUCUUAACUACAAAGUCUAGUAUAUCAUAGUUAGUGCAAUUAUACUUGGCAAUCAUUGCGAGAAAGGACUACGCCCAUGCAUAGUGAUAUUAUCAAGGAAUAUGAGAAACAUAGCAAUCACUCCCCUGUAAUAAUGUUGCUCUGCCAGCCCUAUACACGAGAGGGGGACUAUAUAAGAAUCAAUGGAGCUGUCACUACCACGAACUACCCCGCGAUCUGGCAUAUAGGGUACAAUUGCAGAUAAAUACGGUAUAGGCACCACGCCUACACAAUACUUAUCAUUUACCCACUGUACACAUGGAUAAACGCUAUACGAUCCUAAACAUGUAUAUAAUUCCAAUCUAACUAAGCCAAGCAUAUAACUAUGAUAAACUAAGAACAAUAUAAUUGCGAAUAUAAACAAGUAGAGCAAAGUCAUAAUCAAUAUAUUGAAGUAGAACAAAGUCAUAUUCAUAAUAUUGAAGAACAAAGAUGAACAAUUGAAGAAUAGUAGAGGAAUUACCAAGAAUCCUCUUGACAGAUCCGGAAACCAAUCGAAGAUUGACUCCUUCUAGUUCUAAUCCUAUGUAGCUAUGCUAAACUAGAGAUCUAAUUGAUGUGGUGCCUCUAAGGCUUGAUCAGAGGCUUCUUCUCCCAAGAUGAAUAAUGAAUUAGGGGUCUGAGCUCUCUUCCUCCAGGGGCCAGGGGGUCUGCUUAUAUAAUCCUUCCAAGUAAAUAUGGGCCGUCGGAUCAAACCCACAUUAAUCGCACAGUUUUCCUUGAUCCUUUAGGUCGGUGGAGCAUGAUCCGCGAAGUCGAAGCUGAUUGGCCCCAAGGCCAGGGCGGGCGCCCAAGGGGGAAGGGUGGGCGCCCUGUCCCCGUGCCCGUCCGGUCUCCCGUUCGUUCCCGUGGCUUCUGGACUCUUCUAGAUGUAGGAUAAUUGCGCAGCACGUUAAUAUCUCUAUGUAAACCCGACGUGUGGGCCUUUCUUCCAUAAUUCCUGAUAACCCCCUGCAGAAAUAGACAAACACCAAAACUCGUGGAAUUCUGUCAGAUAAACCCUAAGUCUGGAUGUUGAUUGCAUUUGGAUCCUUUUCUUUGUUUAUUUGAUGAUUAUAUUUGAUAUUUAAAGACCGUCAACAACUCCCCCAAGCUUACCUCUUGCUCGUCCCUGAGCAAGGAUAAUCUCAGUAAUGGAUUAGAAGUUGCUGAAAUGCCUUUAAAAGUUUGAUAAUACACAUGCUUUCAAAUAAGGUCUUAUCUCUGAGUUAGAGUAAACUGUCAAGACUUAAAACUUACUCAUUUUACCUUUCACCAUGGGACUUGUAACCGUCACUUCUGUCUUGAGCAGUUAAAAGAUAGAACGGUCUAGUCAAGCGCCAUGUCUCUUAUUCUUGAUCAGCUAUAGCUCUGGAGUUUUUGCAGAUUUUCAAAUAAAACUCAGAGAUUCCUUGUAUGACUCUCUCAGAUCUCUCUUUUGUGGUAUUUCUGGAUCCUUACCAAGGCAGUGAUGGUAUAUGCCUUCUCUCAAGGUAUAUAGUAUUUGUAGUAUAAGGCAUAGUGACAUUGCCUUCUCUCUCACCCUGCUCUAAUAAGGCUUUAAUAUCUGGCGCUCAUAGGUGGGAGAUAAAGUAUACAUACUUACAAGACAUUUAUUGCAUAGUCAAACCAUGGAUCUAGAGAAACAAGUCAAUAAGUCAAAUCAAGAUGUGCAUGUGUGGCGAAUGAAUGGUGUAUGGUGAUGAUGGUGAUAGUCUAAUUCUACUUUUGCUCUUUUGAGGGGAUAAAUACCUUCCUUGCUCUUUGAAACUUUUUGAGGAGAAUGAGAUGCUCUUCUUUUUCUUUCCUCUCAGGUGGGUAUCUUGUACCCCUAAUUCUACUGUCGGACACUUAUCCAUUUUUACCUCUCGUCUCACUUUUUCUUUUCUUUCGAGGUUCCGGGCACUUGCCCCUUUUUAUUUCCUCGUAUAUUUUUCUUCUUUCUCUUUUUUUAGAGCACUCAUCUCCUGAAAUAAUAAUAUAGCAAGUGGUAGUAACCAAGAUAACUUGAGCAUUUAUUUCACAGGGGAAAAACAGAAAUGUUUUUGGCUAUUCUCUCCCGGAUUAGGAGUAGAAUAUUUUUUGGGUAGUUCUGGAGAUGGAAAUGAGUGGAUAUAUGUGGAUGCGUACUUCCAGAGUAGAAGCAGCAUGUGUGAGUGAACGUGCAAGUGAAUCUUGGUUUUAACCACAUGACAAGCUCCUAAGGGUCUACACAGCUUGACCACACCCAAUGCUCAUAAGCAGUAAAAAGUAAAUGUGUGGCUCAAAGUCUAGCAAGCAUGUAUAUAUGGCUGUGGAAGGAAUUUAAACUCUCAUCAUACAGAAACUCAUCAUGUGAUAUUUUAAAGAGUUUCAAAGAUAAAAUUCUCCAGAAUUCUAGCAUCUCUAGGAACAGAUAAAUAGCAGCUCAACCUUCCCAUAUCAUAUCCGUUAACAACUUAAACUUCAGAUCAAGUUUUCUUCCCACAAGUUCAGAUUUAGAGCAAGCUUUAAAUUAUAACAGUUAUGUCUAAACUAGAGAGAACUUCAAAUUUGAAAAUUAGGCAGAGCAACUAUUCAUCAUAUCCAUGCUAGAGUUUUAUUAAGAUUCAAUUUAGCAUAGCCACUUUAUUUAUUUAUUAAGCACACCAAGCAAAAGACACAUAUAUAUAUAUAUAAGCACAAAAUUUUUAUUUGGUUUUUCAUGGUUAUGUAUAUUUAUAUUUUAAUAUAGUAUAAGUAUAAAUAUAGAUAGAAAUACUUAGCGGGAUAAAUGGGGGUGUCCUCCCCCAAGGUGAAUUUUGACGUAAUUUCUUCUGAUGUAGCUAGCAGGUGGCAGAGGUGUAUUUGAAUGUCGCAGCACCCUCACAGCGAUUAGAAUGUCCUCCGUCUGCUAGUCUUCUUGAUUCUUAAAUUCUGUGGAGCUCAAAUAGAUAACAAAACUUUGUGGAACUGAUUAAGUUAGCAUAAAUAUCUAGCCUUUAUCAUGUUGAGCCUCCUCAAUAAGUGUUACUCUCUAUUUUUAUAUUUUCAUUUUUUUAGAGCAGAAAAAAAUAUUUAUUUUAUUUUUAUGCCACCACAGUGAAUGUACUUAUGGGGUUUAUGCCACUCAUAUACUCACAUGGGGCUUACUAUUUUUAAAAUUUUUAUUUUCUUUUUAGGAUAGUAUGAAUAUGAUUAACUAAGCAAACUAUUUGAAAUAAUUGAAAGGAAAAGAUAACUUCCAAGUUUACCUCUUGGCAAGGCGUUCAAUGUUUUUAAGUCCUCCGAACGGGACUUUCUGUUUUCUCACUUGUCCUAGGAUUCGUUGGAUGGCGUAGUCGGUAGUUCCGGCGGCGCCUCCUCUUCGUGUAUACUUAUCUUUGUUGACGGUCCUUAAGUAUCAAAUUUAACUAUCAAAUAAACAAAGAAAAUGAUCCAAAUAAAAUCAACAUCUAGACUUAGGGUUUUAUCUUACAGAAUUCCACGAGUUUUGGUGUUUGUCUAUUUCUGCAGGGGGUUAUCAGGAAAUAUGGAAGAAAGGCCCACACGUCGGGAUUACAUAGAGAUAUUAACGUGCCGCGCAAUUAUCUUACAUCUAGAAGAGACUCCAGAAGCCACGGGAAGAAAGCGGAGGCCGAACAGGGCCAGAGGCAGGGCACCCGCCCUUUUUCCCUAGGCGCCCGCCCUCUGUUGGAGUCCAAUAGGACUCUGUUUCAUGGGAGAUCUCUACCGACCUAAAGGAUCAAGGAUAACCGUUCAAUCUAUGUCGGUUUGAUCCAAUGGCCCAUAUUCACUUGAAGGGACUAUAAAACCAGACCCCCUGGCCCCUGGAGGAGGGAGCCUCUCAACCCUAAUUCAUUAGUCUUCAAGGGAGAAGAAGCCUCUGAUCAAGAUUAGAGCCACCACAUCAAUUAGACAUCUAGAUUAGCAUAGCUACAUAGGAUUAGAACUAGAAGGAGUCAAUCUUCGAUUGGUGUCCGGAUCUGUCAAGAGGAUUCUUGGUAAUUCUCUAAUUGUGCUUCUAAUUGUUCUCUAAUUAUCUUUGUUCUUCAAUAUUAUGAAUAUGACUUUGUUCUACUUUAAUAUAUUGCUUAUGACUUUGCUCUACUUGUUUAUAUUCAAGAUUAUAUUGAUCUUAGUUUAUCAUAGUUAUAUACUUGGCUUAGUUAGAUUGGAUCUAUAUACAUGCUUAGGAUCGUAUAGCGUUUAUCCAUUGGAUCCAUGGGUAAAUGAUAGAUAUUGUGUAGGCGUGGUGCUUAUACCGUAUUUAUCUGCGAUUGUACCCAAUAUGCCAGAUCGUGGGGUAGUUUGUGAUAGUGACAGCUUCAUUGAUUCUUAUAUAGUCCCCCUCUCGUGUAUUGGGCUGGCAGAGCAAUAUUAUUACAGGGGAGUGAUUGCUAUGUUUCUCAUUUACCUUGCUAAUAUCACUAUGCAUGGGCGUAGUCUUGUCUCGCAAUGAUUGCUAAGUAUGCUUGCACUAACUAUGAUAAUGCUAGACUAUAUAGUUGAGAAUAACUUAGAAAAUAUUCUUGUAGUUCGUUCUAAUUCCAUGCUAAUGACUUUCUAGAGUAUCUAAUUUAGGUGCUUAUCAUAUUUAUUAUGUGGCUGAUUAGAUUAAUUAUCCUUGUCACUAUUCGUUACUUCAUAUAUCCUUUAUGUGACACUUACCCCUGUAUGAAAGAGUUAGAUAAAUGUUCUCAAUUAUACAUGCAAUGAUAGAUACUCAAUUUUAUAUUCUAUUCUGUAAUCAAUAGUGAUGAUUAUUAAUCCCUUCUCCGUGGUAAAAAUAUAAAUAACGAUACCUGGAAUACUUCCCGGUUAAAAUGCUACAUCGGUAUUAAUCUGUGCGCUUGCAGAUCCCAUUCAUUAUUUAUUAAGAAGAGCAAUUGUAUAUUUCAAUACCGCGUCUCUCAUGUCAUGCUGGGGAUGACAACUUGGCUUAAGUGGUAUGAGGGAUAGGUUUGGCAUUUUUGGCACCGUUACAAGAAUUAGAAAACUAAGUCUACUUUUGGUAGUGAUGUUAAGAAUACCCAACAAGCAUUUUUGGCGCUGUUGCCGGGGAAGGUUGAUUACUAAUCAGGAAUGGAAUAAAGGAUUUUGAGUUAUCAUUCGCAUCACUAAUAUGAUUGAGCUUAUCUAUUCUCUCAUACAGUUUUACCCCGAUAUUCUUCUAUUUUAUCUUAUGCAGGGGAAUGUAUGAAUAGAAGACAUCAUCCAGGAAAUUUUGUUGACAAUCCCGAAGCCUUAUUCAAGAAAACUAGAGCCAAGCUCAAGAAGAGAUCAUCAACACUUCAACAAGAAGCUUCAUCCAAUCAAGAAGAUCACCGGAACUUGUCUUCAGAGUUCGAAGCCAUGGCGAAAAAAUCAAUCCGCGAGUUCUUAGGUCCCACUAUGGACAACAUCCGCACUGGACCUGCUGCAGAGAUCGAUGGCAACUUUGAGCUCAAGCCUGGACUUAUCAACAUGGUGCAAUCCAACCAGUUCUGUGGGAAGGCACACGAAGAUGCUAGUUGUUGACGGUCCUUAAGUAUCAAAUUUAAUUAUCAAAUAAACAAAGAAAAGGAUCCAAAUGAAAUCAACAUCUAGACUUAGGGUUUUAUCUGACAGAAUUCCAUGAGUUUUGGUGUUUGUCUAUUUCUGCAGGGGGUUAUCAGGAAAUACGGAAGAAAGGCCCACAUGUCGGGAUUACAUAGAGAUAUCAACGCACCGUGCAAUUUUCUAUCAUCUAGAAGACUCCACAAGCCACGGGAACGAAUGAGGAGGCGAAACGGGGCCAGGCCCAGGGCGCCCGCCCUGAGGACCUGGGCGCUCGCCCCCUGUUGGAUGCAGCUCAGGACUCUCUUCGCUCGGGAUGUUCCACCGACCUAUUGGAUCAAGGAAAACAUAGUACCACCUCGCCUAUCGACCCAAAAACGCAUAGAAGGGGAGGACUAUAUAAGGAGACCCCCCUGGCCCCUGGAGAGGACAUGAAGAAAUUAUCAUAGAGACUGAGGGGUGCCCUCGAAGGAAAACCUCUUCUCUAAUUAAUAUUUCUUUUUAGGCUUAGCAAUCAAUGUAAGGUAGAAAUAGAUCUUCUAGUUUCUACUAGAUUGAGAGAGAUAGAGUGGAGGUGUAGAUUGGAGGAAGCCCGGCCUGUCGGUGUCUACUCCAAGCUUGUACCUGCGGGAUCAAGUUCUCCUAACCCGAAGCUUGCUCCUAGGAUUCUUCAGUAAUUUGACUUCUAAAUUCUAGUAAGUUUCUGUUUUAUUGUUCUUAUGGUUUUUGAGUUUACUUUAAUCUCUUCGCGUAGAGUUUAGAGUAAUCAUUGCUGGCGUAAACGUGGUGUUUAGGCUGGGGUACUCAUAGAUAUUCCCUGACUAGCUGGACCGUGGUAGUAGUGAGGAACGUGACAAUUCCGAGCUACCUUUGUAGAUCACAUCUCGUUAGCAGGAAGGAUAGGGUUUAUAGGUGCGGGUCGAACAUCCUUUGUGUUGUCUAGAUUCCGUUAGCCUCCCCAUUAGAACAGUAGAUCAUCUUUACCAAGGUUAGAAGGAGACUACGGUUGCAGUCUUCUCUAUUUAUCACUCACAUCGAAAGACAUUCUUUGUGCCUAAAGGGAUAGUAGCAAUAGAUUUGGUUAGUCAGAUGCACCCUUUCUCCCAGUGGUACAAAUAUAAAUACGACAACUCUGGAUAACCUCCCGGGUGAAAUGCUCACCGAUAUCCGUGCGCUUGCGGAUCAUUUCCUUAUUGCGUUACCAAAUAUCAACAAGCAUUUUUGGCGCCGUUGUCGGGGAGAAAGACGGUUUGCUGAGAUAACUUUGAGUCUUGCUAUUAUAUUGUAUUAUACUUUUAUACUUUUAUUCUUUUAUCUUUUUAUUUUUAUCUUUAUGGAUAACUCAAAUUCCAUACCUAUUAUUAAAUUCUUUGCACCUUCGGAGACCAGCCAUAGACCAUGGGAGUCAACACGUCCUGCCCCUAAUUAUGAUCUGUGUCCGGAGUUGAUUGCAAUAGGUCAAAACCAACCCUUUUCUAUAGCUGAGGUCCUAUCUUUUAAUCAAGAAGAUAAUGCACUUUUAGCCACACCUAGGGAAUCUGUUAAUCUUUCUAUAAAUUCUGGUUUAGACCUAGCCCUACAAGACCAUGUUUUUCCUAGAUAUUUUCACAUUGGUCUUAAUCAUAUAACCUUUGGUAGAGUCUUUCUUUCUUUAUCUAUUAGUAAAGGAAGGUAUGUCUUCAUUCGUAGACAUCCUUCUUGCACUAGUCUUCAUAGAAAAAUCUUAGAGAUAGAGAAGGAAUCAUCUCCCAUACAAGGAGAGGAAGUUUCAAUAGCCGAUUUCCAAACAUUUCAAUCCCAUAAUUCGGCUAUCCAACCCAUCCUUGAGCUUAAUAAUUUCUACUAUGCUUUUUCUCUUGAACCACCCGAUAAUCCUAUGAAUCUCUCUAGACAUCCCAUGCAUAAGAAGGAGGAUCGAGAAGAGCAACAUCAAUGGCUAGAGGGCAUUAAAAAUCCAUGUGCUAUCACCAUUGAAUGGAUAGAUAAAACAAACUUGAGAGACAAUCCUAGAGGAAUUUUAAGCAUUCAUGAAAAAUCAUCCUUGGAGUUUAAGAAUGAGAGAAACAACAGUGAGCAUGGAAGUUAUUUCAUAAAUACCUCACCCAGUCCUUGCUCAUAUAAAACAUCUCUCCAAUCAAUUUGUCUCUCCAUCCUUACCACAUUUGAGAUCUCCAACCCCCUCUUCCUCUUCAUUUAUAAAAACUUUAAAAGGGCGGUUGUCGAUGCAUAUGUCUAUAAUAAAUAUUGCAGAUCUCGUUGAGUUGAUCUUGAUAUAGGUAGGUGUUGGAGGGGAAACCACUUCACCAACAUAACUUGAUGGUUUCCCAAGGACAAGCUUAGUGUCCUAAAACAAGGACUUAUCAGAUCAUAACAUGAACUUCUAAUUAUUUGCAACAUUGCCUUGUGUAUUGAGCAUAUAAAAAGAAUUGUAGAAAUAUUCCUUUGGGUAUUCUUGUCACUAACCUUUCCAGGAUUGGAGCAAGAAGAUCGGAUGAAUGACAAGCACAGGGUAUGUCCAACCAACCAUCACACAACAUUGAAUUAAAUUCAUCCAAACUUGAAUUUUGUAAAAUUCAAGCUUGGGGGAGUACUUUACAUAAAAACAUCUUUUGCCAUAUUGCUACGUUGGUUGUCCUUACCUUUGAGACAUGCUCAAUUUGUUAAAUACUAAUUACACUACUUCAUCUCCACUUAAGUAGAUCUCUAUAAAUGCUCUCAUGUACCUUUAUUUGCUUUAGUAUAUGUCUAGGUUUGGAAUAGUUUCAUUUAUCUCUUAAUUAAGCAUGGUGCUUAGUUUAGGAAUGAUGAUCUUACUUCCAAGGGAUUUUAAAUUAAGCAUGGUGCUUAGGUUAAAAUGCCCUUCUAAAUCAAAUUAGACAUGGUGUCUAGGUUGAUUUUUAAGCCGAUAGUAUGCUAUAGUAGAUAUGGGAUAUUUUGUUGGACUAACCCCUGCAGGAAAACUUUCAAUAUCAACCCGGGAAGUCCUAAGAUAAACUCGCAUUGGAGAUGAAGAAAGUGACACAUUAAGUUUAACAAUUUGCACAAGAAAGACGUGGUUCAUAAGAGAUGAUUCAUGGAGGGUGUCACAAACACGAUGCACAACCGCUAAGAAAGGAAAGCUUCCACAAGGUGAUACUGUACCGUCACUCUUCAAGUAAGGUAACACCUUAAGGUACUUGACUAUCGCUUUUAUAAGCUUCUCCUUGGUUCUAGCAUUCACAUAAAUAAAGAGACAAACAUGUAUGAUUUAUAACUCCAGAUUAACCAACUCAAUUAAUUCAACAUGUUUAGUCCUUUAAUCUUUGUUCUUAGUACUACCUUCGUGAUCCCACGCUCCUAAACAUAUAAGCUAAAAUGUUGCACAUUCAAUCUUUGGAAGAUAUAAACAAAACAUAAAUAUAGAUAGAUUAUCUUUCCAUUAGGUUGAGCCAUCUGAUCUGACAAAUGUUUCAAAUACUACACUCAUGAUCUUAUUAUCCAUCAACUUUGUCUUGCUCACUAUGCUUAAGGUUAGAGAAGAACAAAUACACUUUUGGUUCUGUUGGUGUUUUCCACCAACAGAGCCCAUGCACUUGAUCUCUGCCUUGUCUCUAUGAACAGGUACACUUCAAGCAAAACAUGGAGGAGUCUUACAACUCCCAGACUCCACCAAGUGAAGGACCUGGAUCUAUGAGCAUAAACACACUAAGCAGGAAAUUGCCAACACCAUACCCGAACUGCUGGGCAAAGAAGAACAUGGGUGACACCGUAUCAAGAGAUGCAGACGUCAAGGUCCACACCUAAUCAAAUGAUGCACCUAAAGGAUGAAGAUGGUGGAAAGUCUUGUCCAGAAGACUUAAAACAUUGGAUCCUUGUCGGAAGAGGUCAACAUCGUCGACUCAAGUCACCUUUCUUGAUCAAGAAGGACGACCCUGGUGUUCCAAGCAUCGAGUGCACAACCAACAGAUACUCUUUUUAGAAAACACUCUACGACACCGGAUCUAACGUCAACAUAAUGGCCGUAGUCACUUAUCAGCUCCUGCAUGGAACCAUGCCCCUACAACCAAUAUAUUUAGCUCCAGAUGAUUUUCAGGUCAUUGACAUGGGAGAAGACGAAUAUGAUCCACCCACCAUCCUUGGAAGACCGUUCCUCAACACUAUCAAAGCAAUCAUUUACAUUGGAACCGGAGAAGUCCACAUGUACUUCCCCUCUGAGAAGGUACGCAACUAUUUUACUGACCAUAACUAUAUAGUUGAAGACUCUAAGCAGGUCAGGACAAGAAGACGACGCAACCGCAACCAGAGGAGGCAAAUCAUCAAGAACGGAUGGGUAGACUACGAAGGAGAAGUGAUAAGGACUGAAGACAUACAGCUUGAACAGAACUGUCCUGAGGAGACCGUAGCACCGAGUCAGAUGUGGAGGGAGAAGAUAGUUAUACACGAAGAGAGGCGCCGCCGGAAUCACCGACUACGCCACCUAGCGAGUCCCAGGACGACUAAGAAAACAGAGAGUCCCGUUCGAGGACAUAAAAAUACCGAACGCCUUGCCAAGAGGUAAACUUGGUAGUUACCCUUUCCUUUCAAUUAUUCAAUUAUAAUUUGCUUAGUUAAUCAGGUUCAUGCUAUCUUGGAAAGAAAAUAAAAAUGUUAACAAAUAGUAAGCCCCAUGUGAGUAUGCUCAUAGCAUAAAACCCAUAAGUACAUUCACUGUGGUGGCAUAAAAAUAAAAUAAAUAAGUUUUCAUCUUACAAUAAAAAUAUAUAUAUAUAUAUAUAAUAAUAAAUAUAUAUAAUAAUAAUAAGUGUAUGAUCCUGCUAAAUAAAUAACAUUUAUUAAGGAAGCUCAACAUGAUGAAGGCUAGAUAUUUAUGCUAACACUUAAUUAGUUCCACAAGCUUUGUUGUCUAUUUGAGCUCCACAGAAUUUAAGAAUCAAGAAGACUAGCAGACGAAGGACAUUCUAAUCGCUGUCAGAAUGCUGCUGACUUUCAAAUACACCUCUGCCACCUGCUAGCUACAUCAAGAGAAAUUACGUCAAAAUUCAGCUUGGGGGAAAGCACCCCCAUUAUUCUCGCUAAGUAUUUCUACCUAUCUUUAUACUUAUAUUAUGUUAGAAUAUUAAAAUACAUAAACUAUGAAAAACCAAAUAAAGAUUUUGUGCUUAUAUAUAUCUUUUGCUUAGUAUGUUUAAUAAAUAAAUAAAGUGGCUAUGCUAAUCUGAAUCUUAAUAAUAAAACUCUAGCAUGGAUAUGAUGAAUAGUUGCUCUGCCUAAUUUGCAAUUUUGAAGUUCCCUCUCAAGUUUAGACAUAACUGUUAUAAUUUAAAGCUUGCUCUAGAUCUAAACUUGUGGGAUGAAAACUUGAUCUGAAGUCUAAGUUGUUAACGGAUACGAUAUGGGAAGGUUGAGCUGCUGUUUAUCUGUUCCUAGAGAUGCUAGAAUUCUGGAGAAUUUUAUCUUUGAAAAUCUUUAAAAUGUUGCAUGAUGAGUUCCUGUAUGAUGAGAUGUUUAAAUUCCUACCACAGCCAUAUAUACAUGCUUGCUAGACUUUGGGCCACACAUUUACUAUUUACUGCUUAUGAGCAUUGAGUGUGGUCAAGCUGUGUAGACCCUUAGGAGCUUGUCAUGUGGUUAAAUCAAGAUUCACUUGCACGUUCACUCAUAUAUGCUACUUCUACUCCGGAAGUACCAUCCACAUAUAUCCAUCCAUUUCCAUCUCCAGAAUCACCCAAAAAAAUAUUCUACUCCUAAUCCGGGAGAGAAUAGUCAAAAACAUUUUCCUAUCCCUGUUAUUCCCUGUGAAAUAAAUGCUCCAAACAUUUUGGUUACUACCACUUGCUAUAUUAUCUCAAGAGAUGAGUGCUCUGAAAAAAAAAAGAGAAAGAAAAGAAAAAAAAUAUAUAAACGAGGAAAUAAAAAGGGGCAAGUGCCCGGAACCUCGAAAGAAAGAAAAAAGUGAGACGAGAGGUAAAAAAUGGACAAGUGUCCGAUAGUAGAAUUAGGGGUACAAGAUACCCACCUGAGAGGAAAGAAAAAGAAGAGCAUCUCAUUCUCCUCAUAAAGUUUCAAAAAGCAAGGAAGGUAUGUAUCCCCUCAAAAGAGCAAAAGUAGAAUUAGACUUCCACCAUUGUUAUUACCAUCAUCACCAUACACCAUUCAUUCGCCACACAUGCACAUCUUGAUUUGGCUUAUUGAUUUGUUUCUCUGGAUCCAUGGUUUGACUAUACAAUAAAUGUCUUGUAAGUAUGUAUACUUUAUCUCUCACCUAUGAGCUCCAGAUAUUAAAGCCUUAUUAGAGUAGGGUGAGAGAGAAGGCAAUGUCACUAUGCCUUAUACCACAAAUACCACAUUUCUUGAGAGAAGGCAUAUACCAUCACUGCCUUGGUAAGGAUCCAGAAAUACCACAAAAGAGAGAUAUGAGAGAGUCAUACAAGGAAUAAGAGACAAAAGAGAGAUAUGAGAGAAGGCAUAUACCAUCUCUGAGUUUUAUUUGAAAAUCUGCAAAAAAAAACCCAGAGCUAUAGCUGAUCAGGAAUAAGAGACAUGGCACUUGGCUAGACUGUUCUAUCUUUUAACCUCUUAAGACAGAAGUGACGGUUACAAGUCCCAUGGUGAAGGUAAAGUAAGUUUUAAGUCUUGACAGUUUACUCUAACUCAGAGAUGAGAUCUUAUUUAAAAAGCAUGUGUACCGUCAAUUUUUAAAGAUAUUGCAACAACUUCUAAUCCAUUGCUGAGUCUAUCCUUGCUCAGGGACGAGCAAGAGGUAAGCUUGGGGGAGCUUGUUGAUGGUCCUUAAGUAUCAAAUUUAAUUAUCAAAUAAACAAAGAAAAGGAUCCAAAUGAAAUCAACAUCUAGACUUAGGGUUUUAUCUGACAGAAUUCCACGAGUUUUGGUGUUUGUCUAUUUCUGCAGGGGGUUAUCAGAAAAUACGGAAGAAAGGCCCACAUGUCGGGAUUACAUAGAGAUAUCAACGCACCGCGCAAUUUUCUAUCAUCUAGAAGACUCUAGAAGCCACGGGAACGAACGAGGAGGCGAAACGGGGCCAGGCCCAGGGCGCCCGCCCUGAGGACCUGGGCGCCCGCCCCCUGUUGGAUGCAGCUCAGGACUCUCUUCGCUCGGGAUGUUCCACCGACCUAUUGGAUCAAGGAAAACAUAGUACCACCUCGCCUAUCAACCCAAAAACGCAUAGAAGGGGAGGACUAUAUAAGGAGACCCCCCUGGCCCCUGGAGAGGACAUGAAGAAAUUAUCAUAGAGACUGAAGGGUGCCCUCGAAGGAAAACCUCUUCUCUAAUUAAUAUUUCUUUUUAGGCUUAGCAAUCAAUGUAAGGUAGAAAUAGAUCUUCUAGUUUCUACUAGAUUGAGAGAGAUAGAGUGGAGGUGUAGAUUGGAGGAAGCCCGGCCUGUCGGUGUCUACUCCAAGCUUGUACCUGCGGGAUCAAGUUCUCCUAACCCGAAGCUUGCUCCUAGGAUUCUUCAGUAAUUUGACUUCUAAAUUCUAGUAAGUUCUUGUUUUAUUGUUCUUAUGGUUUAUGAGUUUACUUUAAUCUCUUCGCGUAGAGUUUAGAGUAAUCAUUGCUGGCGUAAACGUGGUGUUUAGGCUGGGGUACUCAUAGAUAUUCCCUGACUAGCUGGACCGUGGUAGUAGUGAGGAACGUGACAAUUCCGAGCUACCUUUGUAGAUCACAUCUCGUUAGCAGGAAGGAUAGGGAUUAUAGGUGCGUGUCGAACAUCCUUUGUGUUGUCUAGAUUCCGUUAGCCUCCCCAUUAGAACAGUAGAUCAUCCUUACCAAGGUUAGAAGGAGACUACGGUUGCAGUCUUCUCUAUUUAUCACUCACAUCGAAAGACAUUCUUUGUGCCUAAAGGGAUAGUAGCAAUAGAUUUGGUUAGUCAGAUGCACCCUUUCUCCCAGUGGUAAAAAUAUAAAUACGAUAACUCUGGAUAACCUCCCGGAUGAAAUGCUCACCGAUAUCCGUGCGCUUGCGGAUCAUUUCCUUAUUGCGUUACCAAAUAUCAACACUAGUGCUCAUCUCCAACACUUCCUGCCUUGGUAAGGAUCCAGAAAUACCACAAAAGGGAAAUCUGAGAGAAUCAUACAAGGAAUCUCUGAGUUUUAUUUGAAAAUCUGCAAAAACUCCAGAGCUAUAGCUGAUCAAGAAUAAGAGACAUGGCACUUGACUAGACUGUUCUAUCUUUUAACUACUCAAGACAGAAGUGACGGUUACAAGUCCCAUGGUGAAAGAUAAAGUAAGUAAGUUUUAAGUCUUGACAGUUUACUCUAACUCAGAGAUGAGAUCUUAUUUAAAAGCAUGUGUACCGUCAAAUUUUUUUUAAAAAAGUAUUGCAACAACUUCUGAUCCAUUGCUGAGUCUAUCCUUGCUCAGGGACGAGCAAGAGGUAAGCUUGGGGGAGUUUGUUGAUGGUCCUUAAGUAUCAAAUUUAAUUAUCAAAUAAACAAAGAAAAGGAUCCAAAUGAAAUCAACAUCUAGACUUAGGGUUUUAUCUGACAGAAUUCCACAAGUUUUGGUGUUUGUCUAUUUCUGCUGGGGGUUAUGAGGAAAUACGGAAGAAAGGCCCACACGUCGGGAUUACAUAGAGAUAUUAACGUGCCGUACAAUUAUCUUACAUCUAGAAGACUCCAGAAGCCACGGGAAGGAAGCGGAGGCCGAACGGGGCCAGAGGCAGGGCGCCCGCCCUGUUUCCUUGGGCGCCCGCCCUCUGUUGGAGUCCAAUGAGGACUCUGUUUCGUGGGAGAUCUCUACUGACCUAAAGGAUCAAGGAUAACCGUUCAAUCUAUGUCGGUUUGAUCCAAUGGCUCAUAUUCACUUGAAGGGACUAUAAAACCGGACCCCCUGGCCCCUGGAAGAGGGAGCCUCUCAACCCUAAUUCAUUAGUCUUCAAGGGAGGAGAAGCCUCUGAUCAAGAUUAGAGCCACCACAUCAAUUAGACAUCUAGAUUAGCAUAGCUCCGUAGGAUUAGAACUAGAAGGAGUCAAUCUUCGAUUGGUUUCCGGAUCUGUCAAGAGGAUUCUUGGUAAUUCUCUAAUUGUGCUUCUAAUUGUUCUCUAAUUAUCUUUGUUCUUCAAUAUUAUGAAUAUGACUUUGUUCUACUUCAAUAUAAUGCUUAUGACUUGUUCUUCAAUAUCUUGUCUCUUUGUUCUAAUUAUCUUUGUUAUUCAAUAUUAUGAAUAUUCAAGAUUAUAUUGAUCUUAGUUUAUCAUAGUUAUAUACUUGGCUUAGUUAGAUUGGAUCUAUAUACAUGCUUAGGAUCGUAUAGCGUUUAUCCAUUGGAUCCAUAGGUAAAUGAUAGAUAUUGUGUAGGCGUGGUGCUUAUACCGUAUUUAUCUGCGAUUGUACCCAAUAUGCCAGAUCGUGGGGUAGUUCGUGAUAGUGACAGCUUCAUUGAUUCUUAUAUAGUCCCCCUCUCGUGUAUUGGGCUGGCAGAGCAAUAUUAUUAUAGGGGAGUGAUUGCUAUGUUUCUCAUUUACCUUGCUAAUAUCACUAUGCAUGGGCGUAGUCUUGUCUCGCAAUGAUUGCUAAGUAUGCUUGCACUAACUAUGAUAAUGCUAGACUAUAUAGUUGAGAAUAACUUAGGAAAUAUUCUUGUAGUUCGUUCUAAUUCCAUGCUAAUGACUUUCUAGAGUAUCUAAUUGAGGUGCUUAUCAUAUUUAUUAUGUGGCUGAUCAGAUUAAUUAUCCUUGUCACUAUUCGUUACUUCAUAUAUCGUUUAUGUGACACUUACCCCUGUAUGAAAGAGUUAGAUAAAUGUUCUCAAUUAUACAUGCAAUGAUAGAUACUCAAUUUCAUAUUCUAUUCUGUAAUCAAUAGUGAUGAUUGUUAAUCCUUUCCCCGUGGUAAAAAUAUAAAUAACGAUACCUGGAAUACUUUCCGGUUAAAAUGCUACAUCGGUAUUAAUCUGUGCGCUUGCAGAUCCCAUUCAUUAUUUAUUUAGAAGAGCAAUUGCAUAUUUCAAUACCGUGUCUCUCAUGUCAUGCUGGGGAUGACAACUUGGCUUAAGUGGUAUGAGAGAUAGGUUUGACAUUUUUGGCACCGUUACUAGAAUUAGAAACUAAGUCUACUUUUAGUAGUGAUGUUAAGAAUACCCAACAAUCUUCUCUUUCCACACGUGACUCGGUGCUACGGUCUCCUCAGGAUAAUCUUGUUCAAGCUGUAUGUCUUCAGAUCUUACAACUUCUCCUUCGUAGUCUGCCCAUCCGUCCUUGAUGAUUUGCCUCUUCUGGUUGCGAUUGAGUCGUCUUCUUCUUGUCCUGACCUGCUUGGAGUCUUCAGCUAUAUAAUUAGGGUCAGUAAAAUAGCGGCGUACCUUCUCAGAGGGGAAGUGCAUAUGGACUUCUCCGGUUCCAAUGUAGAUGAUUGCUUUAACGGUGCUGAGGAACGAUCUCCCAAGGAUGAUGGGUGGAUCUUACUCAUCUUCUCCCAUGUCAAUAACCUGAAAGUCUGUAUGGAUAAAAUGAUUGUCUAUUUUGACAGGGACAUCAGUUACUAUACCUUCAAUCUUUCGGAAUGUCUGAUCUGCCAUCUGGAGCUGAAUGUAUGUCAGUUUGAGGGGCAUGGUUCCGAACAAGAGCCGAUAGGUGACUGCGGCCAUUAUGUUGACGCCCGAUCCGGUGUCGCAAAGUGUCUUGCAGAAGUUGUACCAUUGAUGGAGCAGUAGAUGCUUGGCAUACCUGGGUCAUCCUUCUUGGUCAGAAACGGUGACUUAAGUCGAUGAUCUUGACCUCGUUGAACUGCAGUGACCAUCUUAGUUGACUCGGUCUACACUUGUUUAUUCCUGUUCCUCCUGUUGGUCCUCUUCCUUGGUUCAUGUCUGGAUUGCUCUGGGAUUUGUGUAGUCUUGUUCUCGAAGGAAAACGUCUCCUUCCUCCCUUUGAUGUAGAAACUGAUCUUGGCAGCACUAGCAUAGAUGACAGCUCCCGAGGUGUUCAGGAAUGGCCUCCCUAAGAUGACGGGUGCCCUCUCAUCAUUACCGGUCUCUAUCACCACGAAGUCUGCUGGAGCGUAUAAGGUACCAACUCGAAUACAGAGGUUCUUCAACAUUCCCUUUGGAAAACUCAACACCUGAUCUACAAACUGCAAACACAUGGUUGUUUCUAAUAAAGGAUAUGUAAAGAAUUUUUCAUAGAGUACCCUGGGCAUAAUGUUGACACUAGAGCCAAAGUCACAGAGUGCUUCUGAGAAGUCCACCAUGCCGAUGGAGAUCGGGAUGACGGGGCAUCCUGGAUCGCCUCUCUUGACCGGCAGAAGGUCAGUAGUUACUUCCGCAACGGGGUUACUCCAGUAGGUACCUGUAUCAAACAUGUCUACAAGAUUUGCAGAUUCUAUUCCUUCCGGUUGUGAUGGUAUACCGGGGUUAGUAGCAGGAACAACAGCAGCUAUUUGAUUUAACUGAGAUUCAAUCAUUUUAUUAAAGCUAAUUUGAUUCUUGAUGGCAGUAGAGAAAUUAUCCAUUCUAUUAUUUAUAUUUUCUAGCAUUUUAUCAUUAGAUGUCAAUUUCUUAGAUAGGUUAUCCAUUAGCUUUCCUUGAUUAGACACUAACUCUCUCAGAGGUGGAAAAUCAUUAUUAUUAUUGUAAGAAUUUUUACCUUGAUAAUUACCUGAGUAGGUAGGCCUCUGUUGAUUCCAACCUUGAUUUUGUUGAGGACGGUUGUAGUAGUUAUUGUUGUUGUUGUUCAUGUAGUUCACAUCUUGAAGCAUCUUAGGGCAGUGAUUGCCUGAGUGUCCAGUAUCUCCACACUCCUCACAAGUCAUGUGAGAGUCGUAGAUGUGCAUAACUCCUUUCUUAUCUCCAGCUCUAUCAUCGAGCUUCUUCAUGAGCAGGUCUAGCUUAGCAGACAACAUGUCUACCUCCUUCAGCUGAUCCAUACCUCCACCUCUCUUGCGUGUCUAGGUCCUCUCUUCAUUCCAGCCUUGGUUGGACGCCAUCUUUUCCACAAGAGCUGUGUCUUGUGGUAUGGUGAGUGAUAGGAAUGCUCCUCCAGCUGCAGCAUCCAUGGUCUCUCGGGCACUGUUGCCGAGCCCAUGAUAAAAUGUCUGCAUCAGUAGCCAGCUCUCCAUUCCAUGAUGGGGACAUUCUAGGAUGUAGUCUUGGAAGCGCUCCCAUGCUUCUGGAAUGGAUUCAUCAUGUUGUUGCUGAAAACUUGUAAUUUUCCCAUGGAGAGCAUUGGUCUUGCCUAUGGGAAAGAACUUAGCCAGAAAGUUCGUGGAGCAGAGUGCCCACGUAGUAUUCUUUUCCUUUGUAGCAUAAAACCACUACUUCGCUCUCCCCAACAGUGAGAAAGGGAAGAGGCGAAGUAGUAUAGCAUCUCUGGGGACUCCUGAUAUGGUGAAUGUGUUGCAAAUCUCUAGGAAGUGUUGGAGAUGAGCACUAGCAUCUUCGUGUGCCUUCCCACAGAACUGGUUGGAUUGCACCAUGUUGAUAAGUCCAGGCUUGAGCUCAAAAUUGCCAUCGAUCUCUGGAGCAGGUCCAGUGCGGAUGUUGUCCGUAGUGGGAGCUGAGAACUCACGGAUCGAUUUGUUCGCCAUGACUUCGAAUUCUGAAGACAAGUUCCGAGUGAAACUUCGGUGAUCUUCUUGAUUGGACGAAGCUUCGUGCUAAAGUGUUGAUGAUCUCUUCUUGAGCUUGGGUCUUGUUUUCUGAAUAAUGCUUCGGGAUUGUCAACAAAAUUUCCUGGAAGAUGUCUUCUAUUCAUACAUUAGCCUGCAUCAGAUAAAAUAGAAAAAUAUCAGGGUAAAACUGUAUGAGAGAAUUGAUAAUCUCAAUCAUAUUAGUGAUGCAAGUGAUGACCCAAAAUUCCAUAUUCAUUCCUAAUUAGUUAUCAACCUUCCCCGGCAACAGCGCCAAAAAUGCUUGUUGUGUAUUUUUAACGUCAUUACCAAAAGUAGACUUAGUUUUCUAAUUCUGAUAACGGCGCCAAAAAUGCCAAACCUAUCCCUCAUGCCACUUAAGCCAAGUUGUCAUCCCCAGCAUCACAUGAGAGACGCGGUAUUGAAAUAUGCAAUUGCUCUUCUAAAUAAAUAAUAAAUAGGAUCUGCAAGCGCACAGAUUAAUACCGAUGUAGCAUUUUAAUCGGGAAGUAUUCCAGGUAUCGUUAUUUAUAUUUUUACCACUGGGAAGGGAUUGCUAAACAUCAAUGUUGAUUAUAGAAUGGAAUAUAGAAUUGAGUAUCAUUGUAUGUAUAAUUGAGAGCAUUUAUCUAUCUCUUUCAUACAGGGAUAAGUGUCACAUAAAAGAUAGAUAAAGUAUGAAUGGUGACAAAGAUAAUUAAUCUGACCUGCAUAACUUAGCCACAUAUAAAUAUGAUAAGCACCUCAAUAGAUAUUCUAACAAGUCAUUAGCAUGGAAUUAGGAUGAACUACAAGAAUAUUUCCUAAGUUAUUCUUAACUACAAAGUCUAGUAUUGGCAAUCAUUGCGAGAAAGGACUACGCCCAUGCAUAGUGAUAUUAUCAAGGAAUAUGAGAAACAUAGCAAUCACUCCCCUGUAAUAAUGUUGCUCUGCCAGCCCUAUACACGAGAGGGAGACUAUAUAAGAAUCAAUAGAGCUGUCACUACAAUGAACUACCCCGCGAUCUGGCAUAUAGGGUACAAUCGUAGAUAAAUACGGUAUAGGCACCACGCCUACACAAUACUUAUCAUUUACCCACUGUACACAUGGAUAAACGCUAUACGAUCCUAAACAUGUAUAUAAUUCCAAUCUAACUAAGCCAAGCAUAUAACUAUGAUAAACUAAGAACAAUAUAAUUACGAAUAUAAACAAGUAGAGCAAAGUCAUAAUCAAUAUAUUGAAGUAGAACAAAGUCAUAUUCAUAAUAUUGAAGAACAAAGAUGAACAAUUGAAGAACAGUAGAGGAAUUACUAAGAAUCCUCUUGACAGAUCCGGAAACCAAUCGAAGAUUGACUCCUUCUAGUUCUAAUCCUAUGUAGCUAUGUUAAACUAGAGAUCUAAUUGAUGUGAUGGCUCUAAGGCUUGAUCAGAGGCUUCUUCUCCCAGGAUAAAUAAUGAAUUAGGGGUCUGAGCUCUCUUCCUCUAGGGGCCAAGGGGUCUGGUUAUAUAGUUCUUCCAAGUGAAUAUUGGCCGUCGGAUCAAACCGACAUUAAUCGCACGGUUUUCCUUGAUCCUUUAGGUCGGUGGAGCAUGAUCCGCGAAGUUGAAGCUGAUUGGCCCCGAGGCCAGGGCGGGCACCCAAGGGGGGAGG
This 23843-nucleotide long non-coding RNA is filed under the name Sorghum bicolor (sorghum). RNAcentral's name for it is "long non-coding RNA (SBIC_LNC018061)". The stretch from base 21702 to 21808 matches the Rfam family "Plant small nucleolar RNA R71". The record is from RNAcentral. Lineage: Eukaryota; Viridiplantae; Streptophyta; Magnoliopsida; Poales; Poaceae.